AGUGGAACUGAAGUAACGUAAAACUUGCUGCUACUGAGAAGAGGAGGUCUCACUGGCGAGUGGUGUACCACAUGGCUGGAAAAAGGGAUGAAGACGGUGAAAAAGAGCAAGAGAGGGACAAAGAAAUAAUACAGAAGAGCCACAUGCAUGGAAGGAGCCAUCAAUCCGUGAAAGUCGUCUCCUCGUUUCCCUGUGUGCCAUGGGGCGCAGUAAGAGUUUGUUAUCUGCAUUAAUCUCUUUAACUGGAUUAAAUUCUUGAGAACAAAAUCCACUCAGUUCCUGGAUGAGCGUACGGGCCAGACCUGUGGAACAGGUAUUUAGGAAUAGGCAUGCAGGCAAUUUGAUUAUAUUCCAGAAGAUCACAGUUCAACUCUGUCUCGCAGGUUUUCCCAGGAGGGUAACUGAGAAAACUGCAUAAUUUGAGACUCAUUUUAGGGUCAUGGUCCUUCUAGUAAAUCUAUUGUUUUGUUUUCUGAAAAAAAAAAUAAAAAGAGAAAAGAAAAAAUUAUAGAGAGCCUUCAGAGUGAAAACAAAUCUGUGUUUGAUCCAGUGUUGUUCUGGCUACUGCUUGUGAGUUUUUGUUGGAUGCUCGACAGGGACAACAAAUGCAUAAUCCAGUGUUACACUUCAAUUUGAUAAAUGCCGCGGAGAUUAUUUUUUUCUUCUCCAUUAUGAAGCAUAGAUCAUGGUCAACAGUACACCAGACUGUAUCGCCUUGAAACCUGGUGUCAGAAUUCCCAUUUGCCUGCAGAAAGGUACCUUUCCUUACUCUAUAUUUUUAUUUUGGCAGCUGCAGUCCUGACCCUGGCUUCAUAUGCUUACAGCUGACCUAAUUUAAUUUCUUUCGUGUUGUAAGUAGAGAGACUCUGUCAAUAGCACUCCGUUUGUUUGAUGGUUGUGAUUAUUUUUGUCAUACAUUUUUUUCUGUAUGAAUAUAUGAAAAUGCAGUAAUCAUCUCAGCUCUAUUUCUUUCUAGGAAUUUGUUCAGACCGAGAAAUCUAAAUAAACAAACUGAAGGGACUUGUCCUUUCUUUUUAAAGCAUUAUAAUUUUCAAAAGGUCUCUGAAGUUCAAAGGGAAUCUUUCUUCUACCUAAAUGAUUUUAUUCACGAAAAACUGGAGGGAAUCAAAUGAAAGUGCUGUGGUGACACUGAAUUUGGAUAUUAGACGUAUUUUUCUGUCCUGAAUUCCACGUCAGCUUGUGGAGCGAUGUGCUGCUUAACCGAUCUUCCUGCGAAAGUCAGGCAGUUUGUUUCUUGAUGACCAGCCCCAUCCGACCUGUUUGAGAUAUUAACAAGAUGAAUGUAUGAUUUGACUGCUGUGUUCCUGAAAAAGACACAGGACCCCUCUCUGAUCGAUGUGAGGCACAGAUGGGUGUUGUCAUCGAGUGGGACAAUAAAGGGGGAUUCAUCUCCACAGUAAGAGAAGUGGAAGCAUCCGCAUGUGUGAGUUGGGGUUUGAAGGGUAUCUGCUUGGAUAUCGGAGCCGGGGCUGCUGUACUGCUUGCUUCCUUCUGCACACACAUCCUAAAUGUCAGAGAUAACGUCUUUCUGAAAUGCCUGGAGCUGUUUUCCCUCUCAGAAGUCCUGUUUUGCCUUCCUGCAGACUCGGGCAGCGAUCCAUCCAGCAGGUAUGACGGGACUAUAUUUUUAAGGUUUUCAAAUGAAGCCUAAAGGCUGGAGGUGGGAUGGAUGGUACGCUAUGAAACACACAGAAGUCUAGAAAAACUCCAUCGCAAGCUUUUCGAGCACAGGGAAGAGUAGGAAAUGUCAAAGAAACAAGGUCUACGAGCGAAAAGGGAGAGGCAAAAGAGCUGAAGCUCUGCAAUCUAUUAGAGGAAAGAUGUUUCUGAGGUGCGAGCAUACGAAGCGGAGCAGGGGGAC
Chroicocephalus ridibundus (black-headed gull) is the source of this 1882-nucleotide long non-coding RNA. RefSeq lists it as uncharacterized. The transcript is spliced from 4 exons. The record is from RefSeq and is a predicted model, not a curated record. Lineage: Eukaryota; Metazoa; Chordata; Aves; Charadriiformes; Laridae.